Non-coding RNA from Acanthosepion pharaonis, 115 nucleotides. NCBI's taxonomy places the organism in Eukaryota, Metazoa, Mollusca, Cephalopoda, Sepiida, Sepiidae. The record is from the annotation of a GenBank genome assembly.
UACGGCCAUAUAUCACGUUGAAGCACCGGUUCUCCUCUGACCACCGAAGUUAAACAACGUCGAGCCUGGUCAGUACUUAUAUGGCUGACCGCACAGGAAUACCAGGUGCUGUAAG